AGUGAACGCUGGCGGUAGGCCUAACACAUGCAAGUCGAACGGCAGCACAGUAAGAGCUUGCUCUUACGGGUGGCGAGUGGCGGACGGGUGAGGAAUACAUCGGAAUCUACUUUUUCGUGGGGGAUAACGUAGGGAAACUUACGCUAAUACCGCAUACGACCUACGGGUGGAAGCAGGGGAUCUUCGGACCUUGCGCGACUGAAUGAGCCGAUGUCGGAUUAGCUAGUUGGCGGGGUAAAGGCCCACCAAGGCGACGAUCCGUAGCUGGUCUGAGAGGAUGAUCAGCCACACUGGAACUGAGACACGGUCCAGACUCCUACGGGAGGCAGCAGUGGGGAAUAUUGGACAAUGGGCGCAAGCCUGAUCCAGCCAUACCGCGUGGGUGAAGAAGGCCUUCGGGUUGUAAAGCCCUUUUGUUGGGAAAGAAAAGCAGCAGGUUAAUACCCCGCUGUUCUGACGGUACCCAAAGAAUAAGCACCGGCUAACUUCGUG
This 492-nucleotide ribosomal RNA is filed under the name uncultured bacterium. Its description in RNAcentral is "partial 16S ribosomal RNA". It matches the Rfam family "Bacterial small subunit ribosomal RNA", at positions 29 to 507 of the family's 1533-position model. The record is from RNAcentral.